AAGACUAUACUUUCAGGGAUUGUUUCUCUAGUUCAUUACUAGAGAAGUUUCUCCCAAGGGUGGAGUACCGGAAACCAUGAGGAGGAGGUUCGGUGUCACUUCCUGAGUGUGAAGCUGACUCUGGGUGUUGUUUCUGAAGCUGCCCUUGGCCUUGAUGAUUGCUCUCUCCUUCUCUGGGGGACUAAGAGGAAAGGGGUACACUGAGUGCU
This is a small nucleolar RNA of Suricata suricatta (meerkat), 209 nucleotides long. Its record names the gene U3. It matches the Rfam family "Small nucleolar RNA U3". Rfam says of the family: Small nucleolar RNAs (snoRNAs) are involved in the processing and modification of rRNA in the nucleolus. There are two main classes of snoRNAs: the box C/D class, and the box H/ACA class. The record is from Ensembl. Lineage: Eukaryota; Metazoa; Chordata; Mammalia; Carnivora; Herpestidae.